AAAAAUGACUAUGUGUUGAAUAUACUGAGUGAACUAAAAUAUACUAUUAAAACUGCCGGGCAUGAUGACACACAACUUUUAUCCCAGUACUCAGGAGGAUUGCCUUGAGAGCAGUCUGGGGUACAUAGUGAGUUUGAGGCUAUACUGGGCUACACAGUUCUCAUCUCAAAACAAAUCAACUUUAGUUGUGGCGAUUUUCAAUGGGAUUAUCGAGCAUUGCACAUGACUUCCCUGGUAUCCGUUGUGUUCUAUUAAAAGUGCUGGUCGACCACACCACGGCACACAAGCUCAGGCAGUUACUGAGCUGUGCUGGGUCACGCUGGGGCUGCCUUUUCUUUUGGACCUCUGUUGGUGAUUUAGGUGAAAAGUCUGCUCCUCAUUCGGACCCUCUGGGCUUAUCUUUCUCUGGCCCUAUCUUUCUCUGGCCCUUUUAUCUCUUCCCUCUGAGCUUGGGUCACCCCAGUAUCACUGCUUUUACCUAGUCCAUGUAUCAAGGGCGUUGAGGCGAAGCUUAGUGGAUGGACACAUUUGUAAAGCUGUGGGCUUUUGAACCAGAUGAAGAAAUUCGUUUAAAAUAUCCAAACCCCAAGCUUGUGGAGAGUGUUCCCCACUAAAAGCCUUUGCAGUCAGGUACCCUUUCCCAGCAGGCUUUGGGAGACAGGCACAGCUUGUCCGGGACAGCCCUCCUCUCCUCUCCACACUUACAUAAAGGCUCCUGUGAAAUGGAGAGCCUCAUUUUAAGCGCAUCGAAGGUCGUGAAUUUAAAACGGAGACCUUGAAAUCUAGAAGCGCUUGCUUUCAUAACGGUCUUGCGUUGCCUCUCUGGGCUAUGAUGGGAAGGGCGGUGCUGUGGGCUGGCAGACUGGGUGAGGUGGCAGUGCCAGGCUGGGGAGGGAGACUCAGAGCCACGGAGCUGCCCACUCUUCCACCUUUUCCUGGAGGAGGCAGCUGCCAGCAGUCCUUCAGCUCAGGGCCAGGCCACCCCAUUUUCAUGGCAUAGUCUCUCGGAGGUUCAGAGUCAGGAAACUAGUUUUCUUACUGACCCUUAGCUUGUUUGGGGGGCUCUAUCCUGCUGUGCUGGUUCCAAACUCCUUCUCAUACCCUCUCACAUCUUGGGAGGCAGAUAGAGCAGGUGCAGGCAGAAGCGCAUGCUCAGUGAAAGAGAGUCUCUAGGUAAAUGUGAAGCCUUGGAGGGAAUUACUUUUAAACAUGCCAUGAAAUGGGUAACUAACUUGGAACAUUAUUUAGCUGUGAGCGGUCACAUCAGCGCCUCACUCGCUGUAGCCUAGAGGGUCGCAUGGGAAGAGGGCAGAGGGGAAAUCUGAACCUGAGGAUGCCUGGCUGCUCUUUUCAGCUUUACUAUGGACAAUCCUUGAGGGGACCAGGGGUCACAGGUCAUGUACCUACUCAGGUUUUUGCCUGGCUGCCAUUCAUUCAUUCACUCAUUCAUCCAUCCAUCUAUUUAUUUUUAUGGCAGUGCUGGAGAUUGAACCAAGAAUAUUUAUUUCAUGUGCUUAGGCAAGUGUUCUACUUUUGAGUUACAUUCUCAGAUUUCUCUCUCUCUCUCUCUCUCUCUCUCUCUCUCUCUCUCUCUCGCUCUCGCUCUCUCGCUCUCUCGCUCUUUCGCUCUCUCUUUCUCACUCACUCUCAGGCAGUAGCCCAGGCUGACUUGGAACUCACUAUGUAGCUGAGGCUGUCCUUGAACUUACCCUUCGGCUUCCACCUCCCCUGUUCUGGGAUGGAGCUGUGCCAACUUUUCACUCACUGAUUGUCAUUCCAGGCUGCUGUAGUGUGGCCCUUGAACCCCAAUGGUCUAUAGAUGGCAGAUGGCAACUCCUGACAUUUACCUUCUUUAUAACAUCACAUUCUUUGUGUUUUCGGAAAUGUAAACAGGAUGAGGAACGUUGUGCCUCUUGUAACAAUGCACUCAGGGGUGUGUACAAGGUCACUCAAGAAGCGACAGCCAUCGAAGUAUCUAGAUUCUGAGUUGCGACACUUAAGAGAAACUGCCACUUCCUUCUGAAUGGUAACAGUGAAGGAGCAGUGUCUCCUGUCUGCAGAAAUUUGGAAUUUGCAAGCAGCACCAGACACUCAUGCCCAGAAGAGAGGACUGGGUUCUUCCCAGGCUGUCCUUGAGGCUGGAGGAAGGGACAGGGCUGCUGGCGUGUGCUGGCUUGACGCCCUCUCUAACGAAUACCAUCUGGGCCAGCAGGCAUUUUGAUGUGGUGGCAGCAUCCUGCUGCUGCCCAUGCUCACAUCCCUGGUCACAGACACAGUUCUCUUUUCCAAAGGGACCCAUUGCUUAACCUCCAAGAUGACACACAGGUGUCUUCUGGGGGCAUCAUUAGCAUCUAUAUACCUGGGUGUGGGGGAAUCAUCACCCCCCUGUUUCUGGGUAUGAACACACCUCCAGGACCCCAGGACACAUCAGGAAGGUGGCCUGUUGUUGCUCCUGAUGGCCAGUGUGAAGAUGGCUUCACCCAGUCCUUGUGAGAUAGUCUCUCCUGAUAUCAAGCCCCAGACUAAUGAGAAGACUGAGCAAGAAAGCGGGCUUCCUACUUAGGCAUCUUCCAGAAGUGGGUGGGUAGCACGUGGCUGGCCUCUAGGUGCCAUCAAGUCUCAAACAGGUAUCAGGGCUGUGACUGACCCUAGAGUGGCCCAGAGAUGAGAGAAACAACAUGGCAUUUGAGCAAGGGCUGAGCUUAGAAUUAUGGAAGACCUUUCACUUGGUAGAUAGAAAAGUUGGAGACCCCAGGCAGUGGUUGACCUGGCUUUGACAAAGUCAGAAGCUAGAACAGGAUGCUUGAAGGCUGCCCCUGUGCCUUCUUUGGAAGAUGUGGGAGCAGGUAGAACCAGCAGGUCUUAGCACACAUUGUAUUCUGGGAGCCUAGAAAACACAUCUUUGCCUAUAGCUUGAGUUCGUUGGCCUGUGGCAGCACCCAGGCUUUGUUUUAUAAUCUUCAUGAGUGAAUCUGUAGUGAGUCAGGGUUGAGAAUCAGAGAGCUGUCUACUGGCUUGAAUGCUACCAAGUCACAUGUAGAAUCAGUGCAGCACACAGUUGUUACUGGCAGGAGUACAUGCUUCUCACUGUGAUCAGAUAUCUGACAGAAGCAUGUAAGGGAGGGAGGGUGCAUUUUGGUUCACAAUUUUAGUCCACCACGGCAGGGAAGGCAUAGUGGCAUUCACGGCCACGUGAUCACGCUGUGGGUAGAACCCUGCCACAUCUUAUUGAAGCAGGAAGCAGGUAUAAGAAUUAGAAAGAGGAUCAGGAUGGAAUCAUUAGGCCCCACCCCUAAGUCCUAUAUCAGCUAAGCCUCAUGUCCACAAGGCUCUAGAACCUCUGCAAAUAGCACAGCCACCUGGGAACCCACUCUUCAAACAAACAUGUAAGCCUCACAAAGAAAAGGGGGAAACAUGAGCAAAAGAGUCUAUGUGAAACUAUCAAAGGAUGUGUGUGUGUGUUUGGGAGGCUUGCCUCCUGGGAGGUGUGAGUGGGAAGCCUGCCUCCUGGGAAUGUGUGCUCUCCUCUCUGUGCGACAAUGGCGUCCACCACAGUCCAGUGAAAAGGGAAGGCCCACGGUCGCUUAGCAGGGUAUGUAGCUGAUCCAGGCUAGAAGGGAAGCCAGGGGUCCUUGUGUCCCAAAGGGACACAGAAGGAAAAAGAGACACAGGGAAAAGGGAAUCUUUGCUCCUGUGUGCUCCAAGGGCCAGGGGGCCUCAAAGCCAACUUGGAGCCCUCUGCUUGGGAGCGACAUCUCCCUGCCCUGAUGUCAGCUGUCCUGCCCUAGAGGAGUGCCUUGUGCGUGGCUGGCACAGUGCCCUCCUCGCUGUCAGAGUGACUCAGAUCCCCAUCCUGGCGCUUGCCUGCUCAGGCAGCACAAGCUGUUCCUUUGGCUUGUGUAUACGGAGCCGGAGCCGGAGCGGCACUUCUCUCUCCAGGAUGGAGGCCAGCGAAGAGAGGUGUUCCUGUGGUGUCGACCCUCUCCCCUCUCCCCUCUCCCCCUCCAGGCACAGGGGUGGGAGAGGAAGGAAGGAAAGCCGCAGUGCAGGCAUUGCUGAGCUUCUUUACUCUGCAUCAAACUGCCUAGCCUGGUCCAGCCUUGUUCAGGGCAUGCCCAGCAGGACACCAGGCAUUCAGGACUAGUGACCAGGUGAGGUGGCGCUUGAAUGGAAGACUUUCCUGAAAAGUUACCAACACAAAUUGGGCCAGGUGGACAAUUGCUGAGGGGACAUUGACAGUGACUGUCUGGGUGUAUGACACGGCCACAGGUCAUUCUGCAUGGAAAGGGUUUAGACAAAAUGUUCACAAGACACUCCUUAGCCUUUGCACAGCCUCAGUGGCCCUGGUUCCUUGCACUCUCCAGGGAGCAAUUUCUCUUACCCUCCCCCCUACCCUCUCUCCCUCUUCCCCUUCCUUUAUGUAUUUUGAGCUUUGAGAUGUUAAGUUAAAUGCAGAAGGUCACAUUCACAUACAAGUUGAAGGGCAGAGUUGAAAACCCAAACCAAGUCUUCUUUGGUGUAUUUCAUUUUCUUUUCGUGGGGUUAGGGGUGGAACCCGGAGCCUGUGUAUGACAGGCAGAUGCUCUCCCACUAAGCUAUACAAGCCUGGUCUUUGAGUACCAAAUCCUGUGCUUGCAAGAGUGGGGUUCUCUCUCAGCUAUUAGCACUCGUCUUAUAUAACUGUCCCUGCAAUGUCACGGGAUGACUUUGGGUGCUUCAGAGAUGACCCGCACUUUCAAAGGAGAAGCUUAUGGGUGACAGUGGGGGCGGCCCCAAGGCUGAAGGACUGGCCAUUCACUGAGUGCCAUUUCCGACUCAUUCUGCCCUCCAGAUGCUUAGCCUAGCAUAUUGUUUUAGAUUGAACCACAUAAAAUCACCAUUUUUGAUGGUCAGGAAUGGUCACUUAGUGGUCAUACUUUAGAGGUUAACUGAAUACAGCAAAGGUCCUAAAUAAUAUGAUAUGUGAUAGAGAGCAUCUAGGGACUCGGGGUUCUUUGUUUCAAAGCAACCAUGGCUGCCUUGGUCUGUGAGACUAUUGCCUCAAAGUGUUAAUUAGGUGUCAUGUAUAGAAGAACUGGCCUGGUUGGUUGCUUGUGAAGUUGCCCUUCCCCUUCUUGCAUCCUUGCCCUAAGGGUUUACAGACCCCUCUAGGAGGUGCCUGGGAUCAACACUUGUGCUUGCCUCGGAGUUAAAGUGCCCUAGCUGGAAGCAUCAGUUAUGUUCUCUACCUGCUCUGUGACCUUGGGUGAGUCACUCACUAAUCUCCCUACCACACAAAUGUCUCAUCAUGGGAACAAGAAUAUUAACGUACUCACCUCAUGGAGUUGUGGAGAUUAUGUAAGUUAAUGAAGGCAAAGUCUUUAGAAUAAGGCUGGUGUGUGGAGAGCGCUGUCACUUUUCCCUGCUGCUAUUAUAAAUAUUCCUAAUAGUCCCACAUCUCAGAUGAGAAGGGCAUGAGCGUGCUCUUGACACAGAGCAGAAGCUUCUGUUUCCUACAGCCUCAGGGUCACGGGGUAGCUAGAAACAUGGUGUGCUCCUUCUCCAAGUACAGCUGAGCACCUGAAGGAGGCAUCUGCCUUCAAACCCUUCACAACCGUGCCACGGGUUAGAAGCUUCCAGAGCAGCAGUUAUCAACCUGUGGCCCUUUCACAGGGGUCGCAUAUCAGAUAUCCUGCAUAUCAGAUAUUUACAUUAUGAUUCAUAACAGUAGCAAAAUUACAGUUAUGAAGUAGCAGUGAAAAUAACUUUACGGUUGCGGGUCACCACAACAUGGGGAACUGUCUUAAAGGGCCUCAGCGUUAGGAAGGUUGAGAACCCCUGCUCUAGAGAAACUAUGCUCAGAGAAGAGUUCUCUCUUCUGAGGGAACUCUCAUCCACAUCUGGGGUGAGAGGCAGAAAGAUUAGCCUUGUCUUCCCAGGUACUUGUUACCAGCUCACUGGAUUGAGUGAGGCUCUCCAAAAGAUUGUCCAAGAAAUAGAGACUCAUGACCAGUGUCUCUUUACCUCACCAGAUGAGACCCUUUGAGGCAGUGUGGGGGCUUAGUUCAUAGAAGGCCAUUUCUGAACUACUAGUUCAGGGUUCCCAGAACUGCCCCACUAACAUGAUUCACGGGGCCCAGUGACAGUUGUUGUAUGCCUAGUGAUGCUUUGUUACUGGAAACAGGCCGGGACAGAUCAACAGCAGGUGUCCCUGUAAGAGUCCUGAAUCUGGAACUUCCAGAUGUUUUCUCCUUGGACUCAGGACAGCAUGACUUUCCUGAUGUCAAUGUGUAAUGAUACACUCGGACUGCUGACGGACAGGGCAGCCGCCUUUGGUGUCCAGGCAUUUCAUUAACGCUCCAACCGGUUUAGCAUAGGCGACCUCCUGUGUGGCUCCUAUCAGUCUCGAGAUCUGCCUCCUCCCCCAGGCAAACUAACACAAUGUGACCCAAAGCUUCCCCUUGACAUCACAUUGUUGCUGAGGCUCAAAACCCACAUGGCCAAUCACAUUCCAGUUCCCCAAGCAAAGACGCACCUGUGAGUGUGAUAUUCCAAGGGCUUAUUGGUUUCCUCCUAGAAGUUACAGGUGAAGCUAGAAUUCUUUAGGUAAAGGUCCAAGUCUUUACUGAACAUAGAGGCUAUGGGGGCACAGCUAACGAGAGAGCUCACAGUCUAUGGGGAGAGACAAUCAGGUCUUCAGCACCUAUGCCUGUGGGAUUGUACAAUUGCCCAUGACCACCAGGAGGCGCUUCAGUGAGGGUCGGUGUGGCUUGUACACUCUGGAGGGAACAAGGAUGGUUGGUCUGAGUGUCAGAAUUCCUGCAGUCUCUAACCAUUUCUAGGAAGGAAGCUCUCAGCUGUUCCUGGCAUGCUUACCAGUUCCAUUGGCCCCGAGGACUUCUCCAGGCAGUACCCUCACUGACUUUGGGGAUUUAAGGACGGGUGAGUAGGGAGAACAACUGAGGAUCCUGGAAAAAAAUUGAGAUGUUCAUUAUCUCAAGAGUGAUGGAUAGGACAGUGCAGCUGAGCAAGAGUGGCUGAGUAGGUCCAACAGUUUGUGGACAUGGUUACAUAAACUACCGGAGACCUUAAGCCACCUUUUGCUUCUGGUCUUCCCUUGGAAACUACUUCCUCUAAUGACGACGGCGUCUGCAGCACAGUAUCCCUGAGAUCAGUGGGAGCAGGCAUUCUUCUUUUGCUCUGAGGUUUUUGGCCACUGCCCUGGUUGCAUCUGCAGUGAGGGGGAGGGGUGUCCUUGGAUGUCUUUUGUGCCCAGCCAUCUGGCUCCUGGUCUCCACCUCACCUAUUGCAAUCUCAAACUCCCUCUAUUCUUGACCUCUCCCCAAAACCUGGAUGGAAACCCCGAUGAAUGAUCCUUUGACCUCUGUCCACGCAGGCAUUUCAUAUUCUGUGACUGGCUCUUAUCUUCACUCUCUGGACUCUUGGGGAUGAGAAAAACUAAUUCAGAACAGUGGUGGUGGCUGGCAGCCUACAGGAUUGGCCUUGUGGGAGGUCUGUUAAGUCAGUGAGGACCCUAGGUAUCACAUUUCAGUAUGUUCCUCGGCAAUGAUGGCCAUGGUUUUUUACCCUAUGAAUUUUCAUAUCUGACUCCAUAUUGCCCCGAGGGUCUCUGAGGGGGAACUGAACAGCAUAGACCAUGCUUCAGCCCUCUAUUUGAUCCUAACAGCAGCACACUCCUGCUCUUCUCCCUAAGAAGUAAUAGCAGCAACCACUUCUUCAUGACUUACACUCUGAUACUUUGGGGGGGCAUUCUGAACAGUUUUAGACCCUUGUAUUUGGUGAUUUAGUCUUCGGUUUGUUUGUGACAGAUUCUGAUGGAGCUCAGGCUGCUGCAUCUGUUAUGUAGCUGAAGAUGACUAGACUCCUGGUCCUCCUGCCUCUGCCUUCCAUGAGCUGGAAUUACAAAUAUGCACCACUGUACUGAGCCUGUGAUUUGGUUUUCAAAAAUACAUUUUGGUGUCACUGUAUUCCACUCAGAGCAUCAAGAAAAAGAAAACUUGGCUCAUGUGGUUCACAAGAAUUCACUGAAAAAUUAUCAUAAGCCUGGCGCAGCAGGGCUCUGAGAAUUCAAAGCCACACAGGCAAGGUCACUGUACCUAGAAAUACAAUUCAAUAGAGGAGACAAGUGUGUUAAUAAUUAACCAAGUGACUGAUGCUGGGUGGGGGCCCGCAAGGAGAGAUAAGGAAUUGAUUCUGUGGCUAGGAGUGGGGAUCAGAGAGGGGUCCCAGAGAGGGAGCUGUUUCAAGCAGCCUUUGAAAGAACACAGGAGCUGUGCAGCUGGAGGAAGAGAAGAGCUAUUCCAGGCGAUGGCAGACGCGCAGACAAAAACAGGGAGGUGUGAGAAUGCAUGGCAUUCACGGAAGCAGAGCCAAGGCCACCACCCACUGUUGCGCCAGUUGUGUGCUACACAACUCCAGGGGAGGCCGCUGUCCCAGCUUGAGAUGUGAGCAGCGUAGAUGGUCAUCUAGUCGCCCAAUAGCCGGUCCUAAGGAGGGCGGAUGAGGAAGAGUCCUGAGAAAUUCUGCUCUUGUUUCAUCUGUUGCCUUAGCUGUCAACGUGCAACUGAGCAACAACAAACCCUGGGUGAGCAACUCUGGAGGCCUUGGGGUUUGAUCAUGAGCUCUGCUUGCUGACUCUGCAAGUACAGGCUCCUGAGGACCUGGGCUGGCAAUUACCAGCUGUGCUGUCCGGGGGCACUGCUCUUCACAGCAUUAGUUUGUGUAUCAGUGGAAGGUGGUCAGUGGAUUGAGGGGCCCCACUCGUCAUCGUAGACAUCUGAGGGUGGAAAGACACAGUACUGACCAUCUAGUUAAGCACUCUCUGUAAAUCAGGAGCUGCGUUACCUGAAGGAGAAGACGCCCCCUCAAAACCAAGAGUAUAGUGGGUAGCUGUUCCAGCUUUGACCUAGAAGUACUAGCCCCACUGAGGCUUCUGGUAACUGUCACGCCUAUGAGGCAGGGCAGAAAGAGGAACCCUUAAGACCUAAGAUCUGGAUAUGCUGGCUCUCUUGUUUCCUGGAUCCUGGAUGCUGGAUGUAGACUCAACAGACCGCCGGACUGCGCUACACCAUUCCAGGACCCUGUAACCUAUCCCUUCACUUGUAAGUUACCCCACAACAUAAACUUCCCUUUUAACUACGUGGAGUUGCCUUAAUACUUCCACCAAUACAAGAGCUUGGAAGUUUCUGAGCCUGGAAUAGAAGCUCAGUUUCCUACCUUGAAUCUCAGCACCGUUAUCACCAGAAAGCCAGGAGCUCCCAUGAAGGACCAGGAAUAUGUUCUCCUAGUUCUAGUGAUGGGCAGUCUUUGAAAUCAGCAGACUGGAGGUCCAUUCUUAUCACAGCCCCAUGCAGGCUGGGGGACUCUCUUGGCUACGGUGCAGGGGUACAGGGGGCUCUGUGUUGUGGUUGAGAUCAUGGAGAAAAAUUGCCCACUCUUAAAAUCCAUGGCUGGGGAGUGGCACACGUCUCAGUGAGAAGAAUCCCAGAGCCUAUCUAGAAGCAAGGAGUAUGUUUGUGCAGGAGAUGUAGUCUAGCUCUACGCCAGGAUUCUGGGAUGGGCUUAAAGCAUCCCACAGACCCAGCCACAGUCAAGAUUGUACAGUUGCCCUAACAUUGGCAAAGCAGUGACAGUCAGCUGAAUAUUUAUCUGCUCUCUGCAUGAAUCCUCCAACGCCCCUCCUCAUGGUCCCUCUCACUUAGAGGGACCAAAUGCACAGGCCCAAAGGUAGAUGCUGUGUGCGUUGAGUUCUAAGCACUUCCUCACUGCAGGUGCAUGGGAAAGCAUGGGUUGAAGACAUGCCUCCCAUUGGAUGGUGCUCCUGACAGCAGCCUUGGAAUUAAUGUUCUUGGUGGUAGAUGCUGAGCGCCCUGGGACUGGAGAGGGCAGGGUAGAGAAACCUAGCUUCCCUUCUGUGUAGUUUCUGUCUGUCAGUCACGCUGGCUUUUCACUUGCCAGAAAACUAUUUAUUGUUAUGAACAGAGGGCCGUCCCUUAGAUCUGUCUGUGAGUGAGGAGCUGCAUGCUGGCAUGUGUGUGUGUGUGUGUUCAUUUCCUGUUGGGCUUUCUGCCUUGUUUCCCCUGAGGUAAAGAACAGAAAGUAGUGUGUUUUUCUUUCUGCCUCCAAGGCAUGUCGGUUUCAUGACCCGGAGAAAGCAUUGAUUUGGACAGAGACACUAAUGCAUCCCUUGUCCCCAGAAUCUCUCUCCUGAGGUCCUGGAGACCGCUUGAUUCCUCCAGACCUCUCGAACCCCCUUCUCUGGCGGAGGUUGGGCUCUUUCCUAUUUCCUCUGUUACCUACCUCCAAAGUUCUGACUCAGCACCACUACACAUUCCACCCAGCUUGCCCAGCACAUGCCCUGUACACCUUCCUGCAGGCACCUCACAAGUGUGAAAGAGACACGGAAGACUUGAUUCAUACCCAUCCCAAACAUGUGGAUGUACAGCUGGUACUGCCCCAGCUGACCAACUCCCAGUGUUCAGAUGCAGAGCCUCGUUGCUAUAGAAACCAUGUUUUAGCCCCAGGCUCUCAUCACCUAGCCUUUAAGCCCUUUUGAACUAGCAGCCUUGAUUCCAGUGUGAAAGCCUCGGAACACUGAAGAUAUUUCUUUUCUCAAAUAAGGACAUUUAGGUCUCUGGAGCUCCUUGGUGGAAGCUAGAUACAUUAGUUGUGGGAGUGUUACAUACAGCCUUCGUUCGCUCCCCCUUCCUCAUCCUCGUAUCAACAUGACGUCGGUUACUUUUCCCAUGGCUUGACAGAAGCAGCUUAAGGGAGAAAGCAUCAUUUUGGCUCACAGUUCGAAGGCCAGUUCAUUACGCUGGGGGUGGGCGGUGGGGACUUGAAGCAGGCUGCACACAUUGAAUCCACAGCCAAGAAGCAGAGAAUGUCAUAGAUGUAUGCUGGUGCCCCGCUCCCUGUCUCUCUUUUAUACAGCCCAGGCUCCCCAGCCUGAGGGAUGCUCCAGCUCACAAUUAAUAUGGGCUUUCCCACAUGAGUUAAUGUAAUCAGAAUGAUCCAACAGUCCAGAGGCCCAUCUCCCAGCUGAUUCUGUCAAGCUGACAAUUAACAUUAGCCACCACACAUGGCAAAGGUCAAAGGUGACUUGAAUAUGUCUCUGUCCAUUCAGGGGUGCAGGCUAGUGGCCACUGGGGUUUCUUGCCAUCAUGGUCAUGUUAUUGGUGGCACUUUGGCAGCUUGGCUCCAGUGACUGUAUGAGUUCACAAUUGUGCCAGGUGGUAUACAAGGUACUUGGCAUAUAUCAAUCACCUCACUUAUCUCUCCUUCACUUGUAAGAGAUAAGCAUUAUUACACCCAUUUUACCUGAGGUUUAAAGGUUAAAUCACCUUGCUAAGGCACCAGGUGAAUGUGGGCUAGAGUUUAGGAGUCGUGACACCAUCUCCAUCACAAAUAUCUGCAGAGGCGGGGCUAUGCAGAGGACUGUCAGGACACCAAUGCAGUACCCAGGAAAAGGAACACUUAAUUCAUUCUCACAGGGGAGUCGGGGAGCCUGACCCAGAUAAGACUAAAGUUGAGCUGGUGCUUAACACCUAGGUGGCAUCCCUGGAAUCCCAGGCCUUGAAAAACUGAGGGAGGAGAAUUGAAAGUUGUAGGCCAGUCAUAGGUACACAGCAAGACCCUGUUCCCCAAACCUACAACAGACAAACAAAUAAACUGGUAAUGGUAAUGCUGGCAGGGGCCUCGCAGGCCAGUUAAGAAAAAACAAGGCUUUGGAGGGUAGGGCAGGGUCAGGGGAACCCACUGGAGUGGUGGGAGGAGCUACUUACGUUUUUCUGCACUUUCCUUCCAAGUGCUUAGGUUAGAGAACUCCAGAAUCACUUGCAUUGUUAUAAAGAGCAGGGUUCUUCCCUCUCGGUUUGCAGCUGGGGUUGUUAAGCCUUGCUUGGAAGUACUAGAACCCAGAGAGUUCCCUAGCAUGGAGCCCCAGGAGGUUUGGUCACAGGUCCUCAGGGCACUCUACCUGCAGCAGGCCAGCAACAGAGCCCCAGGAACGGAGAGCUGCUGCUGUGCUCUCACACACGCCCCAGCUUCCCUUCUUCCUGACCCUUGGUUUCUUGACAUCACAAAGCAAAGUCGGUGUCCUGUAAUCUCAGCCCCAGCUUGGGUUGUUGUGUCUAGAUUCCCAGAUCUCUUCUCUGCAAGCAGAGGCAAUAAAAUGGGGAUAGGAGGGAGGGUCUGGAAUCCUGGUACGUCCAUUCCCACUAGCUGGGUGACCGGUGUUCUCUGCCCAUUCUGCACUGGGCUCCGUGCCUGGCGGUGUGAUUAGUCUCCACUGUUGUGGCCUUAGGCUUUUCCUCUGAAAAUAACUAGAAAUGAGCCAUAAAGCAGCUAGUGACUCACUGUCAUUAAGCAGAUGAUGUGUUAUUGAAUAGCCACGUGGUGAUGCUGCAGCAAGCGGAAUUCAUCCACAGUCAUGGCAGGCAAGAUGGAGAGCCGGCAAAAGGGAGAGCCGCCCAACUGGUGGCAUCCUGAGACUGUUGGGACAAGUCAAUGGCGGCAAGACAUCUUCUCCAGGGGUGUUUACGGCUGGGAUAGACUUGUGGACUUGUAGGAGACAUGGGGGUACACCACAAAAGGCUCGCCAUAGUCAGAAGCCCUACUUCCAAGGAAACACUUUGCAGCUGGGUUUCACCCUGCAGGCCCACCUCACAGGGAACUUCUUAGAAGGUGACUGUGGGUACAGUGGUCUGGGUGGGGCCUGAGUUUGUGUGUUUAUAGCAAGCUUUCAGGACUAGCUGUGGCCCCUUCUGGUUAAAGACACAUUGGGAGCAGGUGGCCAAGAAGAAGGCAGCAGGGUUCUCCCAGAAACAAAAAGACUUGACUCAAGUAUGACUUUCCAUGCUUCAAUGUCUUAAUGAAAAUAUCCUAAAGUACCUCAGGUGGGGGACAGGGAGGACCUAGGAUGCAUGGCUUCUGUUGAGAAGGACAGCUAAGGACUGCUGAACGGCACAGCCAGCAGAAAGACCCAGGAAAUCCCCAAGAUCUGAUGCUCUACCGAGCCUGUUCAGCACUGGCCAAUCACUGCUUGGACCAUACCGUCAGGUGGCAUCACUCCCCAGAGGACCCAAGGGUGGCCUCACUGAGGUGGGAGAUGUGACUAAUUCUGAUUUUACUCCAUCCUCCACCUGGGCAUAGCUGUCAGCCAGCAUAGUCUGGGGAGACAGGCAUUCUGAAUUCAGGAGACAUCGGUGUACAAUCUUGUCUUGAGUUAUCCUUUGGUGAUGUCUGGAAGGUGUGCCCUUGGAGGUUUUAAGGUCGGUCCUCACAGUGAGAUGGGACAGACAGUGAUGGAGCAGGAAUAUGGGGACAGAGACAUCAAGUGCUAGCAGAGUGGGACCCCCCUCCCCGGGCCAGGGUGAACCACACAGGCCCUCCUGCUUACUCUCCAUUCACAUCUGCAAAAUGAAUCCUCUUUUCAACUGAAGAAAAGAGGAGAUUUCACAGGUUGACCUAUUUGUCACAGAUGCCAAAUCACUAGGACUCAUGCCACAAAAGACCCCAAAAUCUAGAUGCCCCAGGCUGUUGAUUUCCAAACCAGUUCUCCAUCCUUAGGGCAGGGAACUAGGAAAUUAUUCCAGAAAAAUAGUGCUCAGGGUUAGGGAGUGAGUGGUGGUCAGUGGCAUGGCUCCUUGAACUUCUUGCAAUCUGAGGGGCUCUUUCAAGUCAGAUUAUGUGGCCUGCCAUAGUCAUCUAAAUACCCAAUGCCACCCCUUUUACACCUUAGUGUCUAGAGAGUCAUACUCCACAGUGACCCUUGAACCCUAGGCCAGAAAAUCUCAAGCUGGUCCACUUUUGUUCUCCAACCCCCAGGGGACAUCAGAAAGAGUCUGCUGGUGUUUGGGGCUGUCACCCCUUCCUUAGUCAUGUAAAUCUAGUGGAUAGUGGCCAGGGAUGCAGACAAACUCCUACAAGGCACAGAACAGAAUGACUCAGCCCAAAGUGAGGAGAAGCCUUUCUCUAGGUAAGUAUUCCUGGGGUUCAGGGCUAGCCUGGGGAGCUGUUGCACACACAGCAAGGGUAAGACUUUGCAGAGAACUUGCCUCAGGGUGAGACACCAGGGCUUAACGCCUCCCCUUUCAGUGGCAGUCAGUAUGAGCUCUCUCUGCCAUCUGUCACUGUUGUUCACCUUUCAGGCUGUGGUCAGGCUUUUUGCCUGAUGUCCAGGUGGCUUUAAUAGGUGGUUGUGAGCUACAGAGGAAGCAGGGAGACACGAGGUCUUCCUCAUGUACAUUGUCCCGCAUUCAUGGACUUCAGCCUUACCCGAAAGUCAACACAGCCUAUGACAUCAGCAGCUCUGGAUAGUGGCUGUGUCACCUCGGGAAGAGAGUCCACCUCUUUGUUCUCAGUCUCCUUGCUUGCAGGAGGCACGGAACCAGGCUUGCUACCCAUGCAAAGAUGAGAACAGUGUAGGCAUUCAGGACAUGAAUACUGAUGUCAGCACCCCAAACUUCAAGUGAGUGCUUGGUUCCUCUACCGCACAUGGACUGAGCAUGCACAGGAAGAGCAAGCAAAUCCUCACGCAAUGUCUAGGAGCUGAGCAAGUGGAACGUGGCAGUCUUGGCGGAGGGUGAUUCGGGAUGUCAAGGGAAACAGUUGGCUGAAGCUUGGCACCUACUCCUCUCUGCAUGUAGGUCUUGGAUUUUGGUAACCAUUAGGUCUGAGGGGGAUGCUGAGGUGAGGUGGUAGGACCAGCUAGUGAGGACAGGGAGUGUGUCUCCUGGACGGAUGCUCUUGGUUCUAUCUGAGGAUGCAAGACUAUAGAAUCAAAUGCAUUUGAUUCCCAGACUAUACUUUAGUGCUUUGAGGAGUCUUGUUUUGCCCCUUUUCAAUUGUUCUUAGCAUCCAUUAGAUGUGAAUAUGCCGGCAACAUACAAAUACUGUUUUAUUUUUCUUUGUCUCUUGCCUUUUCCCCUAAAGGGUUGGAGGCAGCCAGAACUAAUGACAGGGUUGACAUAGUUAUAGGUAUAGGUGUGGACCUAGGUGUGAUCAGCUUACUGAGGCAGAAAAACACAUUCACGUAACAAGGCUUUGAUGCUUGGCCACUCAAGGUCACACAAAAUGUUCGUGCUGUGUAAUUUCUCCCACACUCUCUCUUUUUACCUUUUCUGGUGAGAAAGUUGAAGACAGAUGAAAUAAUCAUGAUGAGUAGAUUGGUUUACAGCACUGAUUUAAAUUUUAGUCCUGAUAUAUGGAUGAGAAGAUCCUGCAGGGCCAGUGCUUCCGGCCUUUAGACUGGCCUGACAUGAACUACUCCCAAAGGAGAAAACAUGCCACUGUUCCUUUUCUUCUUAUCCCUAAAUAUCCUCUUACCUAGUGCUUACAGAAAAUUCAUGGGCCCCCUUUCCUUCUGAGGGUCUGGGUGCUGGUUUUCGGUGCUAUAGGCAGACAGAUCACCUAUGCAGACUCAUUCACCCCUGCUCCUGCUGGUGUUCAGCCUGUCUCUAUACAUCCAUUAAAAAUAACUAUUAUUUAGUCAUUUUUUCCAUCCAUUCAUUCAUCCACCCACCCAUCCAUCCAGUGCAAAGGCAUGUGGUUGGCACAUCACUUGUUUAAGCAAACUCAGAUGGCUGAGUCUUUCACCCUCUACCCCCUGUAAAUGCUGAGUCCUCCCAUGCCAGGGUGAGGCCUGUGGACGGAGCUGAAGUGAACAAUCCAGGUCACACAGAAGGAGCAUGUCUGUGUGUAAGGAGGUAUGGGCUGUGUGAAAUGUCAGAAGGGAGGGUCCAAGCAACUCCGUGGAUAUACCAGUAGAGCCACGCUUCAACUCUAGGCAGUGUGAGCCCUCAGCCAUCAGUCCAGCUCUGUCUAUUCUUAGUCACAGGCUUGGACUUGUGCAUGGUUCCAUGGGCGUUCUUGGCACCAGUUGCUCAGUGCCUCACUGGGUCCUCCCUGUGCCUCACCGGGUCCUCCCUGUGCCUCACCAGGUCCUCCCUGUGCCUCACCAGGUCCUCCCUCCCUGUGCCUCACCAGGUCCUCCCCGUGCCUCACCAGGUCCUCCCCGUGCCUCACCGGGUCCUCCCUGUGCCUCACCGGGUCCUCCCUGUGCCUCACCGGGUCCUCCCUGUGCCUCACCGGGUCCUCCCUGUGCCUCACCGGGUCCUCCCUGUGCCUCGCCGGGUCCUCCCUGUGCCUCGCCGGGUCCUCCCUGUACCUCGCCAGGUCCUCCCUCCCUGUGCCUCACCGGGUCCUCCCUGUGCCUCACCGGGUCCUCCCUGUGCCUCACCAGGCCCUCCCCGUUCACUCUUUACAAAGCUUGUCUUUCCUUGGCUUUGGUUGGGUCCGUCACUUGGCUGGAUCACAACAUCUUCUCUUCUCUGUCACACUUACCUGCUCACAAGCACAGUCACUCACAUGUACGUUCAGGUACACUCAACAUGGGCACAGUUCAAACACGUUUAUUUAGAUAAUUCACCUAUACAGGUAAACGCACUCACAUACACACAUUUACUCCUGAACACACACAUAGUCCAUUCACAUACACACAUUUGCUCCUGAACACACACAUACUCACACUUCAACAGGCACGUAUACUUGCUCAUAUGUGUAUACACACACACACACACACACACACACACACACACACACACACACACACAAACACACACACAUUUGUGAAUGUGUAUUUAUAUACAUAUACACCUUUGGCUGACCAAAACUUCAGAAAGAAGCUUUGAGUGAGUACCAACAUCUUCUAGAGUUUUCCGCUUCCCCUGGUGACAGCACAGAUGAAGGGACUCUGGUUGAAUGCUCUAGGGACUAUGCCAUUCUGGAUAAUGCAUUUUCCUGGUUGUCUGGAAGCUCACGAGAAUACCGGCCACCUUGGUUUUGUUUGGUGGUUGUUUCGUUAUAGCAAGCAAGUUUGGCAACACCAUAACUAUUUCCCUAUCUUCUUGAAUUUUUCAAUGAGCUGAACCUGACUUCAAUUGAUACAGGCUCAGUAGCAUGGAAGACAAAGUUUCCUUAUCACUUGAAGGACAUGGGCUUUGAGAUGAGACACAUUUGGUACUGGUAUUCAGUUUUGAGUGCCAUGUAUAGGCCCUGCAGGUUUAAAGUUCUGGUUUAAGCCGGGCGGUGGUGGCGCACGCCUUUAAUCCCAGCACUCGGGAGGCAGAGCCAGGCGGAUCUCUGUGAGUUCGAGGCCAGCCUGGGCUACCAAGUGAGUUCCAGGACAGGCGCAAAGCUACACAGAGAAACCCUGUCUCGAAAAACCAAAAAAAAAAAAAAAAAAAAAAAAAAGUUCUGGUUUAAACUUGAUCUUGACAUCAUUGACCGCUCUAUCGAAAUGCAGACAACCAUAUUUAUACUGUGAGAUGCCUUUGAGAGCUGGGAUUUACAUGGGCUUGAGCUCUGGGGACUCAGGGGUGAGGUACUGUAGGAAAUUCUGCCCAAAUGUGUUGUGAUCAUGGUCUCAUGGGGUGGGUUAUUUAGGGUGGGUUAUUUAUGGCAGAAUUCUCUAUUGUUGAGUAGAGAGAAACUUCAAGAAGGAAACAAAAGCCUGUUCCUGGGCAUCUUGGGCUUCUAGUGGCAUUCAAGGCAAAAAAGAUUUUGAUGAAUUGUCAGGCAGUCACAAACACAUGCAGACCAAUGCUGGGCCUCCAAGAUCUCCAGAGUCAAGGGGAAGAGAGGAGCCAGGAGGCUGGUUCAACCAGGGGGCAGAAAGCUUAGAGUGCAGAGCCAGAUGAGGACAGAGCCAGGCGAGGGCAGAGCCAGGCGAGGGCAGAGCCAGGCGAGCGCAGAGCCAGGCAAGGACAGCAAGAACUGUGCUGUGGAAGGUUCUGCAGCUCCUGAGGCUAUAACUGUGCUCCUUUUCAAGAACAGGAUUCUGUCCAGGCAGCUUAGGAGAGGCCAAGCCGCAGCACACAACCUAAACCUCAUCGACCGAGGCCACUUAAUCCCUUCCUUCUCUUUCUCUUAUUUAGAAUACCACAAACACAAUUCUAAGGAAUACUCAGGACCAGACAUAAAAAAUAGAGAACCAAGAAGCCCCUGGCACCCAGUCUCCUGGGUCCAUUCAGCCUUUUUUAAUGAUUAAUUAAUCACAAAUUAGCAAGCACGCAAUGAACAAUAGGGAAGCCAGGCUGUGUCUUCUAGUGCUUCUAGACAUGUUACAAAACAAACCAUCCAAGGUAGAACUACCUGCCUACUGAAUGCCAAGCAUUCAGUGGCGUAUGGCAGAGUCACAGAGGAGCCCUUGGGGGACUCAAAGUCUGCUGGGGAAACAGGGGACAUCCUAAGAAAGUCACCACUGCAUCCACUAACGAGUGCAGUGCAAGGUGAUUGUCCAGCCAGUCAAGUGUCAGCAGCCUGCUAGACUGGGAAGCCAGCUAGUUGGGAAUCUCUUCCUCCUUCCUUAAGAGAAAUCCUGGCUGGACAUCCAACGUCUCCAGAUACCCGGGAAGGAGAUUUUAAAGAAGUCAGGACAUGAAAAUGGAAGGAGAGGACAUCCUUUCUGUCCUAAAUCUUGGAACAUGGGGACUGCUAUUGUCACAGGGAAAGGCCACAAUACUUUUGUCCCAAGAGCUUCAAGUGUGUGACAUUAAAAGAUACGUGAGCUGGGUCUGCUCACCCCCUACUUCCAUGUGCGUCUGGUAGAAAUUGGGCCACUGACAGCCCUUGCUUCCCUUGGGACCAUCCUUAGGCCACAUCUCCAGGCCAGCGGCAUUUCUGGUAUGUCCCUCCCUAACAACCCACAGGCUAUGUUCAGCCUUGACUUGGUCUCCGUUUUCCUCCUGUGACAACUGUCAACACUCUAUCAUCUCAGCAUCCUCUCUUGGGAGAAGCCUCUUACGUUUAAAGAGAGUGUUUCCCUCCAUAGCCCAGGCUAGCUCUGAACCUGCCAUCCUCCCCGUACUAAGACUGCAGGAGUGUCCACCUUGUACAGCUUCGCAUCUGAACUUAAGCGCAUGCUUUAAGGUUAUUCUGUAGCUUACCUUUCCUUUACCAUCUCACCCCUCAAUACUUCCCUUGAGAGCAAUUCUCUCCUUCCUGUUCUUUCUAAGGGCCUGAAACACUGUUGCUAUAAGGAAUCAGUUCCAACGUUGGGGAUAAACAAGCAUCCAUUUAAGGCAGGGCUUGACGGUAUACCUGGUAGUUGUAUAACUUUGCGUGGAUGAUUUGUUUUCUCUGAGCUUGACUCUUCUGUAUCAUCAGACUUAUGCUGCCAUAAGUGCAUCUCAUGUCAACUAGUACAUAGCAGGUGGCUGGAACUCUAAUGUGUCAUCUUCAUUUCUUUACACACACACACACACACACACACACACACGCACGCACGCACGCACGCACGCACGCACACGCACACGCGCACACGCACACACAGCUUGUACUAAUAUAACAUUAGUCGAGUUCCCGAUCUGCCAUUCUACACCUGGCUAGCCAUUUCAAUAAGUCCCAUAUUAUUGAAUACGCUCCCAACUGUGUUUGUGAUGCACCUGCUGCUGCUGAUUUCUAGAUGAGCAACCGAGGCAGAGAUUGGGAAGGAGAACCAGGAUUCCACGAGGGUACCUCUCAUACCUUUGCUGUCACCUCUGGCACUGAUCUCAGGUCAUUCACUUAAGACACCUGGUCCAUCAGAAGAAUGUCCUUGGAAGUAGCAUGCUGUGUCUGGGUUGGGAAAGGAGGCCCAUGAAUUUGUUAUCCAGGAUGUUGCCUGCUGGUUGAGGGCAGAAAGAGACAGGGUAAGGGUAACUGGGCAUGCUUGCUUGGACUAUAUACUCUGUUUCUAUGGAAUUUCUUACCCUCAGUCCAGGGUGGGGAAGGUCUUACAGGACAGGUGGUGAGUUGAGGAAGAGUGGCUGAUGCUGAGGCUCCUCUUCCAGAAGGUGUCUGUCCAUGGCAAAUUCAUGAGCUAAGAAGUGAUCUUUCUCUAGAUUCAAGAAUAUUACUAAGCUGUGACAGAGCUGACCAAUACCCAAUGAUCAUUCCUGAGAGAGAGAGAGAGGAGAGAGAGAGGAAGAAGAAAAUGUGGUGCCAACUUUCGGCUCCUUUCCUGUUGUUCUAUAAAGUCAAACAGUCCUUCUAAGUGGGCAUCUCAGCUUUCAAAUGGUAAACUGAGGCACAGAGAAGGGCCUAUGUUUGCCUGGGUUUCACAUUAUACCAUAUGUCAAAGGGUGCAGAGGUAUGUUCCAGCUGCAUACUUGGGCUCUGUGCCUGAACACACAGGAGAACCACGUGGGCUCUGCCAAGGGCGAGCUCUUGACCUAGGCAAAGGGAGUCAGGGGAUUAUGGGGAGGGAAUGGAACUCCGAUCCUCAUUGUUCAUAAGGUCUGCAAACUCUUCUGAUGUUGGUAGUCCAGAUUCACACUGUCGUCUUCCGGCUCCAUCAGGAAGCUGUGGCACUGUGUACCACUGAGGCACUGUGGUAAUCUACUCUGGCACCUGCCACUCCCUUAGGCAGCCCCUCCUUGGGACUCAGGCUGGUGAGCUGCUCUCACCCCCACACAAGAACCAUUUGAAGGGUUAAAGGAGGUGUGGAUGGGUACCAUGGUCUCUUCUGUCCUGGGAUCUUCUCUCUCUCCUUGAUGGCUGGGUUCUUGGGGCAAGGCUGAGCCAGUCUCCUGUCCCAGAACUUCUCUGCUGGGCCUAACUUGACUGCUCUCUUCUCAGGGACCUUCUGAUUUGAAGCCCUGAUUCAUUCUCUCUCUCUCUCUCUCUCUCUCUCUCUCUCUCUCUCUCUCUCUCUCUCUCUCUCUCUCUCCUGUCUCCCAGUGUCCUCUACCCCCCCCAUGCCUCUCUGGCGCUUUCUCCCAAUCUCUCGUCUAAUCUCACCCCACUGAGAUCCCCAGCACACCGCCUGCAGGAUUGGAGCUGGGAGGUGGUGACUAAUGUGCUUGGAGGUGAGUCAUCCGCUAAAUAUAAAACCCACUCACAUCCCUGGAUGCAAAAUUUCUGAGACUCUGCAUCCUUCUCUUUCCCCCUCCCUCCUGGGGGGCGGGGCGCAGAAAACAAGUAAACACCACGCAGCUGCAGUGGUAGCAGCAUCCCCCUGUGCCCUUCAGCUCUGUCCUGCCAAGGCCACCAAUGCCCCUGGUCUAUACAGGUCCUCUGAGACAAGGAGCAAGAUGGGGAGUCUUGACCCAAGAACUGCCGGGCAGUUAAGGAAGCAGGCAUUUCUUCGGGAUUCUCCCCUCCUUCAGCUUGUGCCCUUUUGUGUCAAGUGGCCUCAAAUUGCUCCUUCUCCUGGAAAGGUAGUCAGCCUCUAAACACAUUCACGCUUGGCAGAGUCCAGGAAACACUCCUGUGUGCAGUAUGGAAAGGCAGAGUUUGGGUGCAGUGAGCCAGGGUGGGUGACACCUACUUCUUAUGCACAGUUGGAUUCUUAUUAGGGCUGACAGCUUGAAUUUUGAGUUCUUGUGUAUGGACGGGGACACACACACACACACACACACACACACACACACACACACACACACGCGUGCACACACACACAUCCCUUUUGUAUAUAUACCGUAUCAUUGACUAUAUACGUAAACACAUAUACACACACAUCCUAUACGCAUUUAAUAGUUGAUAUUGCUUUUGUGUCAGGUGACAUUUUCACUGUCUCACAUGGAGUUCCUCCGCUAAUGUUCUUAUAUACUUCUGAGACUGGGCCCCUCAAUAUCCUCACUUUACAGAUGUGGAGACCAAAGUUCUGCAAGACUCAAGAUAGCUGUCUCAAAGAACAAUACCAGGACCGACAACCUAUAUGCCUGUGUGUCCCAUGUGCCUCAGCUUGCAGGUUAAACUAGAACUCUUCAGACUUCUGUGAAAGUUAUCUUCUAAGAAAGAUAUCUUCUGUCUCAGUGUGUGUGUGUGUGUGUGUGUGUGUGUGUGUGUGUGUGUGUGUGUGUGUCCACAUACACUUAUACAUGAAACAUCAUUUGAGAGAAAUAGCACUAAUCCUGACUACCUUCACAUUUAAUGUCUUCUCUGAAUUCCGUUCUGUUUGACUGUUCCCUACUCUUCGGAAGCCAGCUUCAUUCUGAUGGCACUCUAAUAGUUACAGCGUCCGUCAGGUUUGCUCUGUGGCCCUCUAAAGGUCAUCCUGCACCUCUGAAAAUCAUUGAGACAUCGGAGUGCGCUCACUCCUUCAGGGCAUAGUGUGAGAGCUGAGUCCCAGUCCUAGAACAGACUUCCUCUGUGGCUUUAGACAAACGUCUUCACUUCUCUAGGUCCCAUCUUCAUAGACCCUGUUUGCCAUGGAGCCUUACAGAACGGCCUGGAGACAGAGAUCUUCCUUUCCUAUAACCAUCACAGACUGAGAUGAGGUGACCUCCCCAAGUGUGAGUUGACAUGUACAUGGCUUAUGUGUGAGGUAGGGGAAACCCAGCAGAUGGCCUGGCAGGUGUCCAUUCUGGCUUGCAGGGCACACUUGGACUGUAGCACAGGGCAUAAAGAUGACACAAUUUCCAACCUGGGAGCUUUUGAUUGGGCAAAAUCUCACACUUUCUUAUGUAAAACGUUCAUUUCAUUUCCUUCCACCUCUUAUAUUUAUCCUUUCUUGGGUUUGGAGAAGUCCAAGGCAAGACCAUUUUAACUGAGCUUAACAGAUAAAUAUGGACAAAGAAAUGCAGAGGAGUCAUGCAUGGGUCAGAAUCGUCUUCCCAAAUGGACCAGGCCUACUUUCUGAUCUCUGCUGGGUCACUGAGUGGCUGCAUGAGUGUAGAGUUGAUAGUCUGAGCGUAGUCGGAUAGCAGGCACCUAGAUGGGUCUUCUCCUGCAUACAGCUUCUAGAAAAUGAGAUGCUACAACUGAGACAGGAAGGAGAGAAUGAUUUUGAGAGAGAACCUCUCACGAAGAGCCCAGCAGUCCCGAGGGUGGGAAACACUUCAUUUUUAAUAGUUCAAGGAGCCUGCCAUUCAUGUGUGCUUGUUGAUGGGCGUGCAUCUCAACCUCCUGCUGUGGCUUGUCUUGGGGGGGUUGUUUGUGGGAGAUUCACCUGCCUAAGUGUCAUAGAACUGCCAAAGCACGCCACCCAUGGCCAUCACCUAACGUCACUCAUGAGGUCCAGAGGAGACAUGACUUGCUUGGAUCUCACGGAGAACCAGAGACUCAGAACUCUUGUGCUUGCUACUUCCCAGAUCCCAAAGGUCGGGCCAGCUCUGCCUCUAAGGACAGUCUGGGUGUGUAUCCAGCCUUCUACCUCUCUGACGCUGCAUGAGGCAGUGGAAGGAUGGUCUGUCCUUCCCAACCGCCAGGCAUCACAGGUCAUCCUUGGCCAGGGAAAUAUGCUUCAUCCUGCAUGCAUUAGUCAGCUUUUCGUGGCUAUCGGGAACUAUCCGAGGGAGGCUAACUUUAUAAAGAAAAGAGGUUCCUUUGACUCCCAGUUUUAGAGCUUUCAGAAUUCAACAGCAUGGCCCAGGCUCCGGUGAAGGACGCACGGCAGAUGGCGGGAGUGUGUGUGGGAGGAAGGAUCACACCUCAGACAGAGUGAGAUCGAGCCGGGUUUUUAUAACAGCCUUCCCACAAAGACGAACCAGAGACCCAUGAGAAGCAUCCCAGUGCUUCUUAGGAAGGCCCGUUGCACCGACGUGAAGAGCUUCUGCUAGAAGUAGCCCCAUUUUUGCAUGUAUACAUGUGUGGCAUGUGUGUAUACAUGUUUGGACAUAUCUGGGUAAACGUGUAUAUAAUAUGCAUGUGUGUGAGAGUCAGAGCAGACUUGAGUGUCUCCCUUGUUGACUUUCCACCUUACAUAUAAAGGCUGGGUUUCUCGUUGAACCCAGAGCUUACCAGCACAGUCUAGCUAGCCACUUAGCUCCAGGGACACCCUGUCUGCCUCCAGAGUGCUGUGGGUGCUGGGGAUUUGAACUCUGGUCUUCAUACUUGCUCACAAGCACUUUUCCCACAGAGCCAUCUCCCUAGCUCCUAGAUUCCCACCUCUUAAUGGUGCCCCAGUACUUCCCAACCAUUCAACCCUGGAGAGCAAACUCCCAACACACACAACCCCCUGGGGUGGCGAAUAGCACCUCUCUGUAGCACCACUUCUCUGAAACACAGCUUCCGUGUGGGGCUUUGUGGGAGGGGAGUGCUCAUAUGAGUUAUCUGAAGAUCCACAUUUCCUCAGCAUCCUCCGCUCUCUGGAAAGGAUGACCAAGCUGUCAGGCUGGUAACCUUUGCCCUUCACUCUCCUCUGGAAUAGAAGGAGUUCUGAGAGUGUCUUGGAAUUCUGAGGCACAUAGGAUGAGAAUUCCUCUCACUUAUGCCCAGGUGCUCCUCCUCUCCUACUGUCCCCCCAUCAGAAGUCACUUGGAGCCUAAUUUUGUAACUGGGUACUGAAUUCACACUCUGAGAAAGCCUUUGAGGAGUCAUCUUGGUCCCGCUACUCUGUGAGACAAUCCAGCCCCAGCUGAUGAUCAGACCCUCUGAGGAAACAGGACACUAUGCUACCCCAGAACCACAGUAGAAUCUGGGGACCUUGUUCAUGGAUGUUCUCUUCCUCCCUCCCUGAAGCAGGGGCUGCUGCCACCCUUGUCAGGGACUCCUUGUAGAGGGGAAAGGAGUAGUUCAGAUUGUCACAGUGCAGGAAGAUGGGCCUGCAUCUCUAGAGGCUUCUGAGAGAUGCUUUUGAGAAAGGAGCAAGCAUGCCUCUGUUUCCUUCCCCCCAGAAGGAAACAUGCAUUGCACACUUGUGAUGGACCCCACGCUCUUUUAGAAUGUAUUUGCUCACAGUGUCAAGUCUGUGUCUCAGGUCUGUGUCUCAGGGGAGAGGUGGGCACCUGCACACUACCAUCUGCCUGACCCAUGGCAAUGCACACAGACAUGCUGUCUGCCCCGGCCCCCUUCCUGUCUAUUCUGGAGAACCGUUCUAUGGCCUUCUCACGAGUUCAAGCAAAGGAACCUUGUGGAAACUUCCAGUGCCUUGGAGGAGGGAGGAGCAUCUGCUUGCAAAGCCUUCGCUGCAGCCGCUGCUCCACAAACAGCUCUGCUGGGCUGCGCUCAGGUCGGAACAGGCACCGCGGACUGAGAAGUGGGAUGCUGUUCACUCAGGGAGAAAGGCCUGUCACCUCAUGGGUGCAGAGGAAAUGGCUCUGUAGAGUGGCCUUGCCCAGUGGCAGCCCCUAACCAUGUGACAUGGUUCUUGUGACCACUGUAUCAUCUGGGAACACAAACUUGCUCUUGGCAUCAGAGGCAGCAACUAAGCAGUGAGGGAGGGCUCUGUGGUCUGUGAGAGAGCGUGUCGAUGGACUUACCCUGACAGCGAAGUCACCUCUCAGCUACUAAGUGGAAGAAAUGUGCCUGCAUGACCCUCCGUUUUUCAGGACGUCUGGCCUCUGUGCCACCUUUACUUCCAGGAGAGCCUGGCUGCCUGUACUCACCCAGGCUGUUCGCCGUGGUCCCUGUCACCGGUCUCCUGAGCUGUGUCCACUUCCCCUGCUGUGAAUCCCGAUGAGAUAGGAGCUAAAGAAUAAAGCACAGAAAAUGAGACUAGCCUGGGGCUUGUCCCAUAUGGUCUGAGUCAGUCCUACCAAACCCUUGAAAAGCGGGACCUUAGGGCCACAGUGUAGUUUCCUUUCCUCCUAUCCUUGUCAAGUCUGGACUGCAGAGCGGCCAGAAUUGCAUCUCUGGGAGCCGGGAGUGAUGAGGUGACUUCCAAAGAGAAGCGACAGAGGUUAGAACUCCCUGAGUGUGUGUAGAUCCCAGAGAACAGGACUGGGUGACAGCAUAGCCUUCCACUUCUGCCUCAGAGACGAGGUCAUGAGGACCAGGACCUGGGUGACAGCGUAGCCCUCCACCUCUGCAUCAGGGAUGAGGUAAUGAGGACCAGCAGAUGCUGCCUCCUUCUGUACUAUCUGAGUGAGUCCAGGGCCUGACCACCCGCCUUUGUAGACUGGCUGAGAACAUUCGAGGAGAUGAGACAUGUUUGGCAGUUAGUCAUGUUUGUGUGUGACAACCUCCCCUGGGAUUCAACUAUCAUCUCUAACCCUCAGGCUUCACUCCUUCACAAAUCCCUGUUCUCGAGGUUGGCAGAAGCCAGACCACUGUGUUGGAAUCCCACUCUGGUCACAUUUCAGCUGAGUGACUAUCAGCCACCCUUACUCUCAGUCCCUUGACCUAAAAAUGUGGCAUGACAAUGCUUAUUGCUACCUCGAGGGGCCUGAGGAUCAGUUGAAGUGAGCCGAAGACACAGGCACCCAGGACAGUUCAUAGGCGCAGCUGGGAAUCUCCAUGCUCCAGGGCACACAGUGAGGGCCCUCGGCUUCAACUUAGCAUGCAGGUUACUCCACCUCUUAACAGCUUUCUGGUUGGUUGUCAUGCCUCCCUCACUAGGGAGCAGCAAGGUGUAGGAAACUGACUCAAUGCUACCUCUCCAUUUUGGUGUUGUUGCUUGGAAUCGAAACAUGGAGAGGGUCUCGGUGCUUUGGUUAGGGGAUCCCAGUGCCUCAGCAACGGAACAAGAAGGCCCACUUCAGCCCAUCCUAUGCACCUAAGAAUAAGGACCUAAAAUGUCCGUCUUGUGUUUUUUCUCCACAUGGUACCUCUGUGGCAAUCCCUGAGUUGGACAGAGCCAUUUAACAUUCGGUUCAGCCUGAUGCCCAAGGUGCCUUUGCAGCCGUGCCGGCGGAGUGGCUGGUGUUGCCUUGAAAAUACGGAAAGUAUCUGCCCCCUAGUGGCAAGGUUAGGAACAACCGCUGCUGCUUCCUACCAGGCUUGGCAGCCUGGUGGCCAGACUUGAAGUCUGCGGCAUUGGGUCACAAGGUGGGGACACACUCCAGGUCCUAGUCUUGGGUUUCACCCACCCACUCUUUCGCUAAUUUGUUUUCACUCAGCAAACAUGGAGUGCCCACAUGUGAGAGUACAGCUCCGAGCAGUAGGAAUGCAGCAGUGGCCAAGAAAGGCAGUGACUCUAGCCACCUGGCGCCCACCUCUUCACUGAAAUGUGAAAUUGAUCAACUGUACACACAGAAGUGUAGCUGGAAGUUUACCUGUGUCCUGCAGCUGCUCAGUCCCAAAUAAACAUGCAGUGGCGUAUAUUUAUUACAAACUGUUUGGUCUAUGGCUCAGGCUUAUUGUUAACUAGCUCUUUUAUCUUAAAUUGACCCAUUUCUACUCAUCUAUGUGUUGCCAUGUGUCUCUUGGCUUUACCUGUGUUCCAUUACAUCUUGCUCCUCCAGCAGCUCACAGUGUCUUCCUUGACUUCAUCUUUCUUCUCCCCGAAUCUUUGUUUGGUUUUCCUGCCUGGCUUUAAUCUGUCUUGCCAUAGGUCAAAGCAGCCUCUUUGUUAACCAAUGGUAGCAACACAUAUUCACAGCAUACCAAAAGACCAUUCCACAGCACAGAAGCCCAAAGAGCUGUGAACCAAGCAAGAGACUGCAGGGCAAUGCAGCUCCCCUGCCUUAGGUUCUAGAAGUUUAAUAAAGAGGCAGCUGUAUACAAAGAGUAAGGUCUUUGUGUAAAGUUUUCCUUCUUAAGGAGCCACACAGGCUGAAGGGUGGUUUUUAUAAUACAUGGUGCUGGCUCUGCACCUUCACGUGCAGAGGAGUGACACUGGACCCAGAUACCACAUGCAGAAAUAAACUCAAAAUGGAUAAAGACUCUUGUGCAACCCUAAAAGCGCCUCUCUAAUAGAAGAAAACAGGGAAUUUCUUGACCUUCAUCGAGGCAAUGAUUAUUGCCCCCAGACACGGGCAACAAGUGAAAUAGACACACGCAUUGCAUCAAACUAAGACACUUUCGUAUAGUCAAGAAACAAGCACCAAAGUGAGGAGACGGACUGCAAAAUAAGAGAAAACAUUGCCAGUCAUAAGUGGCUAGGGGCCUAGUGUCUGCAAUGUGAAAGGAACACAGGGUGCUUAAUUUUAAGUAAACAAAAUGCCUGACUGAAAAUUGGGGAAACUGUCUAGAAAAGAUCUUUAUUGGAAGAAGUCAUGCACAUGGCUGAGAGGUAUAUGAAAAGUGAGUAUACUCACUUAUCAUCAAACACAUAACCCCAAACCAUGGUGAAUCACCCCUGCACCUCUGUUAGAAUGCCUGUGAUCAAGAAGACAACAGCUAGCCAGCAUUGGUGAGGACGUGGGAAGACAGCGGCUACACACCGUGGAUGGGGAUGCAGAACCAACCAGGAAGAUCAACCCGGAGUAUUUUCUUUCUAAAAAAGAAUUAAAAACAUGUCUUCCUACCCUCCACAUUAUCCCACUUUGGGGUCAUUGUCUACAGGAAAUGAAGUCUGCAUGUCAAAGAAACACUGGCCCUCUGUUCAUUCUAGUUCUGUGUAGUGUAGCCAAGGCCUAGAAUCAUGGCAUCUAUUGACACAUAAAUGGAUAAAGGUGUGUGUGUGUGCGCGCGCACACACAUACAAACAAUGGGGCAUUUUUUAGCCUGAAAAGGAAAAGAAAUGCUUAUGUGCUCUGUACUACAUGUAGACUUUGUGUUAAGGAAAACAAGCUAGUUGCCCCAGGACAUAAUAUGUGCCUGCAUGGGUGUGUGCAUGUGUGUGCACACAUGCGUGUGUGUUUUCAUUUAUGUUAAGAACCUAACGUUGUCUUCAGGUAUGCAGAAUAGAAAGCAGGAUGGUGAGAAGCUGCGGGUGGGGACUGGUAAUAAUAUCUUAGUGGGUUCUAAGUUUUAGGUGGAGAGAGCAUGGUGAUCGUGGGUGAUAACACUAUUGUGAACUUUAUGCUUCCUAAGACAUUCUUAAUGUUUUCAUGACACACAAACUUAGUGACAGAGAUGUGAAUUAGCUGAAUGUGCUAAUUAUUUCACAAUAUCUGCACAUAUCAAAGUGUCACACUGGAUACUUGAAAAAUACACCUCAAGAAAUCUGGAAAACCAAAUUUUCCCCUAAAGUCACACAGAUAAGCCUAGGUACGCCUGGAGUUGACACUCUGUGUCAAAAAGCCAGUGUGGUAUUUGCUGGGGCUCAAGUAGGGUUCCUCAACUUUGCAUUUCCCUUGGAGAUGCAGGAAGCUCCCACCUUUAUUAGCUAGGGGUUGAUUACUGGCUUCCUACACAUUCUGUUUUAACGUGGUGCCAAUCGUAAGACGCCACUGUGGGAAGAGCCUUGGAAGACGGGGGUUAGACAGUUGGAGCCUGUUUCCUCCACUUAGCAGUCUUGUGACCUUGGGCCUGUCAUUGAAAAUCCCAGUUUGGCCUGUUCCCCUCAAGCCAUGCUCCUAGAACUCAUGAGUCACAAGUGAACUGGAGCAUGCGGCCCCUUGGGCUUUCUGUCGCCAUGUGGAGCUCUAGUCCAGCCAAGCUGAUGGUCUGGAUUUUGGAAAGGUGGCUCAAAGACGCCUCUCCUUUCAUUGAAAAAAGAAAUAAACUUUUAACAAUGAACUUGACACAUCUCACUCAGAUCCAACUGUACACUAGUAUCUCAAUCAUCUGUGGCCGUGUAACAACCCAAAAUUGCAAGACUUAAGAAGACAAUAUUGUGAUGUUUCCCUUGGGUUCUGAGGUUUUAUGGGGCUGGAUGGGGGCAGAUUUUCUGUUUAAUCUGAUUGUUGCUGGAGCUAGAAUGUCCACAGUGGCAUCUUCACUUACAUGUCUGGUCCUCUGCAAUCAGCCAGAGGCUGGCCAGGCAUUUCUCUUUGAUAGUGACUCCACCUGGGUCAUUGAAACUUCCAUGUGGUGGCUGAAGGCUGAAAAAACUCCAUGAGGUUUACAGAGGUCUGCACCCCAAUGUGUAUGUCCUUAUGACAUUCUAAUUGUAUCACAUUGGCCAAGGACGGUCAUGUGCCUAACUCAACCAGGGGUCAUUGUGGGAGGAGGCCUCAGAAAAACAGGAAUCCUGGGAAGUGUGCCACUGGCUACCACCACAGGGUACCAUUAGCCAGUGAGAAGCCCCCCAGAAAGUGGUGUGGCUAUAUACCCAGGAGAUUUCAAAGUCAGGAUAUAUAUUGUUGGGCUGUGCUACCCAGAGAUGAUUUUCAGUUAGGAAAUUCUAAUGUUUUUCUCCAAGUUUUGUUUCUGUUGCUGUGAUAAACACCCUUACAAAAAGAAUUUUUGGGGGAAGGGAUUUUUUUUAAGUUCAUAAGUCCAGGUUACAGCCUGUAGUUUCAGGGAGGCCACAGUGGCAAGAGUUUGAAACAGCUAGUCACACUACAUUCACAGACAAGAGUAGAGAGACAUGGAUGAAUGCUUACUCACUUGUUUGAUUGUUUGCCUGGUUUAGUAUAAUUUCUUCACUCACUUUUAUACAGUUUAGGCUCUUCUUCCUGCCUAGGGAAUGAUGCUGCCACAGUGGACCCCAUUUUCUCACAUCUCUUAACUAAAGACAACUCCCCUACAAACAUGUCCACAGGUCAACCCAAUGUAGACAAUCCCUCACUGAGACUGUCUUCCCUGGUGAUUCCAGGUUAUGUCAAGUUGACAAAGCUGACCAUCACAUCUCCCAUAGCCUGAUGUCCCACAGAAUAAUAAAGCAAGAGAUGAGCAGAGUCUUUCUUGUCAUGGGGUGUAGGCUUUAAGAAUUUAGUGGUUGUCCCCACUCCAGCUUGCAAGUUGACAUCCCCUUGCAAUAAUUCACUACUUCAUCCCUGCUGGGGUGGCUGUCUGCAUCCCACACUUUACCCUCUAUCUUUCUUCUCUCUUGUCCUCAAAGAUAGCAGUGGGAGAAAGGCCACAGUAGGAAUAUUGGCAGUUGGGUCCAUGAUGGUGAAUGCCACAGCUUGCCAGGUUGGUUGUCUCUAAAUACAAGCUGAAAAUUAGUAAUAAUAAUAAUAAUGAUAACAAUAAUAAUUCAAUGUUGAGUGUUAGCUAGGUAGUAGCAUUAUUUAUUUUGUUUUAAACAUUAUUUUAUUAUUUCAUGUGUGUGGAGGUUUUGGCUGCAAGUCUGUGCACCAUAUGCAUGCCUGGUACCCUCAGAGGCCUGAAGAAGGUGUUAGGUUCCCUGGAACUGGAAUUAUGGAUAGGUGUGAUAAUAAAACAAAGGCUGAACCUCUCCCCCAGCACAACAUAUCUUCUGACUUCCAUUUUGAAGUUAAGACAUUUUUAAAACAUAUAUGUUGCUUUAAUUUAGCAGUUUCCAUAAUCCAAUGUCUAUUAGCAGCUAUUGUUUUUUGUACAUUAGCAUUUAAAAAAUUCAAAGUCAGCAAUGCACUAUACAGGAUCCAGAUGCCCUGUAUGUUUCCCAUCCUUAUGUGGCUUAUUCCUUUUAUAUUACUUUACUCUUUCUUUAAAGACUUUAUUUUAUUAUUUUUAAACUAUUUUUUCUAUGACUGUCUAUAACCAUUUUUUACUGUAUCUGUUUAAAGGUUUUCUUGGUCUGGACCUGACUUUUUGUGUGUGUGCAGCAUUCCCUGACUGUGAGACAAACCUUAAAUGGCCAUGUCAGGUGCCACUCUGCUCAGUUUAGCACAUGACUCUGGUGCAUGACUCUGGUACACGGCACUGGUGGCUGGCUCCAGCCCAUAGGGAGUGGCCAGGAGCUGUGUCUCUGUAUGACAAGCACUGGCCCACCUAAGAGACUGCAGGACUAGGAAGCCACAUCUGACUCCUUGUCCAGAACUUUUUUAGCUUUUUCAGACCCUAUGACUGGAUAGUUGAGCCCCAGGUUGGGUGCGCCAUAUGUAACGAGUCUUUUUCUGUCCCACCAGCCAGCUCCCAAAUAAUGACAUGGAGACUUAUUAUUAAUUAUGAAAGCUCAGCUUAGGCUUGUUCCUAACUAGCUCUUAAAACUUAAAUUAACUCAUUUUUAUGUACUGUCACGUGGCUCAUGGCUAUUACCUCUCCUCCUGUGUAUCUUACUUGUUCUAUGUCUCCUGGUGUCUCUCUCAUGCCUAGAUUCCUCUCCUUCUUCCUCUCUCUCUACCCAGAAGUUCCACCCAUACCUCCUGCCUACCUAUUGGCUGUUCAGCUCUUUAUUAAACCAACACAAUAUCCCACAACAUAACGAUGCAUGGAAAUAAUAAUAAUAAUAAUAAUAAUAAUAAUAAGCUAUUAUUAUUAUUCCCCGGCAUCAAUCUUAGUAUUUUCGUUUUUGUUUCUUGUGUAGAAGCUUGGGCUAAUCAGACUCCCCAGACUGUUGAAUUGUCCAUGUCUUACUUCACUAACGCAUAUGCUUAUCCUUUUUACUUCCCACUCCUCAUAGGCACACAGGCUCACAGGCUUGAUGCUCACCUUCUUAUACAUAUGCAUCUCUCCAAAGCAUGGAUUUUGGUCUUAUAUGUAACAUGCUACAUUUACAGAAAAGGUAAUAAGUGGCCAAUUUUAUACGGAUUUUGGGCUCACCCAUGAUUAGAGAUGUGGAAGGACCCUGGAAGGGACAUAGUAUCACAUCUCAAUGGCAUCUAUUUCAUUCUGUUCCCAUGACAACACUGACAAAGCCUGGCACUGGUGAAUGGACAGUGUGUCUGACUCCAUAUGUCCAGCCUUUGGGGACUCCCAUCUUAUACUACACCAUGAAUCAGGGAAGGAUUUUUAUAUACCAUCAGAAUAUAUCCCAGUGACUGUUAGCGGAGUCACAGAGUAAGGUGGCCAUCAUCACUACUUCUAGAAUGUCCCCAUCAUUCCCAAAAGAAAUCUCAUCACUAUCUAAAGUCUCACCCAUCUUCCUCCCUUUUUCUCUUCCCUGUCUUGAGGUGACCACUGGUCAACUUUAUGUCUCUCUGUUGUGAGAUAUAAAUAGACAUUCUGUUUCUGGACACUACAUCAAGCAGGGAAUCCUAUAAUGUGUGGCCUUCUAUGGCUGGCUUCCUUCAUUUAGCAUAAGGUUCAAGGUUCAUCCAUGUUGUGGUGUGUAUCAGUAUUUCACUCCUUUGCAUGGCUGAGCAGUAUUCUGUGGCAUACCUGCAGCACAUUUUGUUUAUCCUGUCAUCUAUUGAUGCAUUCUAGGGGAAUUGGGUACUGGUCAGAGCUGCACUGGAAGGUUAGACAAUGGAUACGAUCAAGUCAGGAGGAUUUCUCAGUCAGGAGGCUAAUGAGGCAAAAUUAGUGUUUUCGAAACUUACUAUGGCAGGACUGUGGCACUCAGGUCUGCAGGGAGGCAGAGAUGGGAGUGAGGCUGGGCGGACUACAGAAAUUAGGAAUGGACAUCAGGGAGACCUCUGUGCCAGGUGCAAGCUCCACCUCUCUCUGGCUCCUCCCAGUUCCAUUUACUCACUUUUUUUUCCCUCCCCCUCCCCUCUGUCCCUCUCCUGCUCAUGCUCUUUUUCCUCUCUCACUUCCUUCUCUCCUUCCUUCUUCUUCUCUCUUCUUUCCCCCAUCUCUCUCCCCCUUUCAUUCUCUCCCCUCUUCUAUCCCUCUUGAUUUCCUUUCUCCUCCACCUCCCUCCUUUCCUAGUCCCCUCAUCAGUUUUCCUUCCUUCCUUUCUCUCUACCCCUCCCUUUCUGAUUCUCUUUUCAUCCCACUCCUUGCCUAUUUCCUCCUCUCCCCUCCCUUUUCCUCUCCCUCUCUCCCUCCCUUACAUAAAGCCAAGAGCCUGGAAGCAUAGCUCAUCUCAGGCAGAAGGCCAGCGUGCUCUCAGCCCUGUCUCCUAUUUCCUCCUGCACUGCUGCUGAGGAUCAGCUGGUCACACGCCUUCCUGGAAUGUGCAUGAUGAUAAUUGCCUCUUGCACAAUUAUCUGCCAAGCCCUGUCGGUAAUGAAAUGAAUGAUUUAGUUAUCCUUGUUAGGAAUAGCCCACAAAGCUCAGAAACUCAUUAUUGCAGCCACGAGGCUGGCAGGAAUGCCCUCCGAGGCACCUGCGAGUGAGCGGCUUUUACAAUUAGCUCUCUCUUUUCUGCCAGAGACCACAGGCCCACCCUGCCCCCACCAUGAACCAAGGGCUGGAAGCAUUCUAGGGGAAAACCAAUAAAUAAGCCUGAGGCUGAGGUUCAGCUGCAGAUCUUACUGGACAAGCACAGGGCCUUGGGCUUGAUGUCCAUCACUGCAAGACAUACGAGGCUGGACUGGGCUUCUUGUCUGCCAGCUUUGACCCACACAACAUGAAACUGCUUUCUCCCAGUGCAUGGAAAGGCUUAAUCCAAGCUCUGUGGUGAUGAGCAUGGUGCAGAGGCCACUAGGGUUCUGAAGAAAGCGUCCUUGGCCAGCUAAAUGCAGGGCUCACAUUCUACCCCAUGAUCCCAUUUCACACUGCCUCUCUGGAGGCUUUUCUUGUCCGUUGUUUCAUAGUGAUGGUUCAGCCUUUUCCCCUGCCUCAGCCUUUCUCUACUGCCUGUAACUGCUGGGUCUCAAGGGUAAGGAGGACGAAGAAAGGCAGAUAGAGAUGGGUGUGGCUGGGGAAAGUUGAAGCCAGGGAUGCAGAGACACAUGGUGUUUGAAGGAAGCUGUACCACACGAAUCUCCACAUGUGCCCAUGUGUUCUCUUCUUGCUUUCUGGAAGAUUCGAUUCAGAAGUAACUUCUUUGGGAUGGGGGAAAAAAAGCCCCCACAGUUUUAGUUUAGCUUUGAAGCAGAAACAUUGCUCAUUGACCACCCCUAGAGCAGCACACCUCAGAGGCUUGCAAGAUGGGGUGAGUGCCUACACCCAGCCUGGCUCCACCCUCUUCAUGGCUCCAGUCUGGAUAAGUGAUGUGGAAGGACCCUGGAGGGGACAUGGCAUUACAUCUCAUGCAGCCCAGCAUGUGCAGCCCAGCAUGGUUCUAGGUAGCCACUGUCCUUUCCACAUCUUGAAGUCUCUUCAUCAUCUUGACCCCAGGUGUGUAAACUGGAGAGUUCCCUGACCGUGGUCCUUUGCGUCUUUACAGGGUUACAGGGCACAGUCUGUCAGAAGGGGAAACUGAGGCACUAUUUUGUAAAGAGUCUGGUGGGAGGAGAUGCACUGUCGUUGCUGUGGAGCCAGGUGCAGGAGUCCACAGACCAGUUUAGUUCUAAAUUGGGUGUUGCUCUUCCUCUUGUGAAGUGAGGAGGGUGGAGCUUAUGAACGAGAGUUCUAUGGACAGCCAUUUUAAUCUCGGCUCUGUAGGUGCAGGUUGAGGGAGGUAGUGGAAGGAAGACUUGAUCUGGAGUUUGUGGUGACUACAACUUUCCUGCAAAUCGUUGCUACAUGGGGAACUAGAGGAGAGGUGAGGAUUCAGUAGGUUGAGAAAGGCAGAGGCCUAAUCCUUCAUCUCCGUGAGAAAGGGACAGGAAGGAGGAGUUACGCUGGGGCAGACAGGCUACAGGGUGCUGGUGAUGCCCAUGCAUACUGCUUCUAGUUAGCACCACUGACGUUUAUUUUUAUUUUGAGAUGAGACCUUGCCAUGUAGUCCAGGUCAGUCUUGAGUUCACGUCUACAUGGUAAGAGCACCUUUGCAAGAGAAGACAUCGUGAGACAGUCCACACUGGGACAGUAGAAGACUGCCCACCUCCUUGUGGUACUGUCCACUCUGAGUUCCUCCUGACCCCUGCCCUCCGUGGUGCCUCUUAUUCUCUUUGAUUGUAAGAAGAGCAGGGUGUCCGGUCAGAGUGGACACCGAUAGCUUUAGGGACUGUGUGUGUGUGUGUGUGUGUGUGUGUGUGUGUGUGUGUGUGUGUGAGUGUGUGUGCCUGUGAAUGUGUGAAGGGGCUGGGGCUCACCAGCAGACCAGAGCACAGGAUCAGAGAGUUUCCGGGUGAGGUGGGGCAAGUCUGGAGUCAGCCCAGAGGAUGCUUGAGCCACACUCCUGUCAGUCAGCCUGCACAGAGGAUGCUUGAGCCACACUCCUGUCAGUCAGCCUGCACAGAGGAUGCUUGAGCCACACUCCUGUCAGUCAGCCUGCACAGAGGAUGCUUGAGCCACACUCCUGUCAGUCAGCCUGCACAGAGGAUGCUUGAGCCACACUCCUGUCAGUCAGCCUGCACAGAGGAUGCUUGAGCCACACUCCUGUCAGUCAGCCUGCACAGAGGAUGCUUGAGCCACACUCCUGUCAGUCAGCCUGCACAGAGGAUGCUUGAGCCACACUCCUGUCAGCCUGCACAGCUGGAGCAGCACUCGUGGUUGCACUCGCUGAGGAGCCAAGAGCAGCCCUGGAAGGAGUGCUCACUUGGCAUACCCUGGAAAGCUGUGGAAUAUACAAGCCCGGCCUCAGACAACAGAGGACGUGCCUGGUUUCUGGUCCGUAUGCCGCUCCCAGAGAACCUAAGAAGCUUCUUUGUUCUCAGCCUUCUCCAGGUAACAGUGGGCCCUGUGGUUUUGGUCCCAGAAGGACCCUCGGGAGCUGGCAGGAUCCCUUGCCUACAGCUUGGGCCUGGUGUUCUUUCCAGGCCAUAUAUUCUAAGAGAUGUAGGUCCAUUCCUUUUGGGGGCUCCUAAGGGAUGAGUCGGAAGGCUUUGGAGGAAUCACUGUAAUGCCUAAGACCCCUGUUUCAUUGUCUCUGGCCAUUCCAACCUUAGUGAACCAUCUUAACUGAAAUCAGUGAGGUCUGGCAGCCAGACAGCCAGUGUGGAAUUCGCCAUGGCUUCAGACGCCACUGCCACUACCAUUUCUUCCGGCUGCUGCAAACCUCUGCCCGGCUCUCUAAGCCCACAUGUGUGGCCCUUCCUUAGAUCCUUGGGAGCCACUACUCCAGAGGUGCACAAGGAGCUUUUACUGUGUCCAACACAGCAUCUACCCCAGGGGGCUCCCAGUGGGGACUGGGGCAGGGGUGUCAGUUGAUGUAGGCGACUAUUAGUCAGGGGAGACAGACGGUUAAAGGCGCAAACUGUGGGCAUGUAGGGAGGCAGCACCUGCCUCUGGGCAAGGGCUUUUCAUGUGGCAGCAGCUCGUGUUUGUCACGAGCAGGAGACCGCCCUGGGCUCGUAGGUCUUCAUGACACCGAUGGUCAAGGCACCAAAGGUGCAGAGAUCAAGCACAUUCCAGAGGUCAGGACGCAGAGGCAGGAUGCGAAGCCAGGUGCUCUGGCUGUAGAGCCUGUAUCCCCAUCCCCCAUCCAUAGCCUCUAGAGGAGCCAGUGAACUAGCCUGAUGAUGCAAGGCCCACCUGCCUCCUUCUUAUUAGUUUGCUGUCUGCCAAAAUGGCAGAGUGACCUACUCCAAACACCAAAGGACCUCACACCACCUUCGUGGGUGGCUGAAUACUUGGCUGAGGCUGAGGCUGAAGGCCCGUGGUUGCCCCUCCUUCUGCUAGCCCAGAGCCUGUGGAGGAGGCACCUCGGGGCUCUGGCUUUCCCUUGCCCAUUAUUUAUUUCUGUCUCCCUCCUAACCUGCAAAGUUGAAAGGUAGGGCCCUUGACUUAACAAAUCUCUUUAAAGACAGGCCCUUCAGAGUGGCUGGUACUGUAUGGGGGACACUGAUACCACACAGGACACAGAAUGUGCCCUAGAGAAUGUGUCAUUUUAAUGGGAGAACCAGCCACUCUUCCUGCUGCCACUCUCCUCCUUGGCAAACCCCGCCUCACCCAUGCCACCUUCAUGCUCAGAAUCCUCAGUAGUUCCCGUCGCUUCCAUGACCCUGGAGGCAGGUGUUCUAUCAGUGUGACUUGGUGCUCCAAACAGUGCUCACACGGACAAGAGCUGAGCCAAUCAACACAGCACUGUCAGAUAAAUAAAUAAGUAAAUGGCAGAAGCCACAUUCCUUAACCAGCCCCCAGCCCCAUCCUGAACUACCCCCUCUUCCUCAAUUCUGGUGGGUGGCCUGCUUCCCUGGGCAGGGAUCUCCAUCCACCUGUAGAUGCCCAGGAGCUCAGUGCACUCAGGUGCCAUACAUCCUUGCUCUGGCAAGAAAUGGUAUCUCCUCCCAUUUGUUGAAGUUUGUCCAUCUCCAGUCGACCCCUGACCUAUAGAACAACUCUGUUCUCUUGGCACCAACCUUGGAGGUUGGAAUGUGUCUUCCGUCCUUGGGCAGGCUUGGAGCUCCUUGUGGAUAGGAAGGAUGUGGGUGCAAACUUUAGUUCAGCCAGCUCCUUGGUGCCCAGCAAGGACACACACACACACACACACACACACACACACACACACACACACACACACACACACUGUCUUGGACACAGUGGAAUGCUCUCAUAGCAUCACUGUGUCAGUCUUCCCAGACAUGAGUGCCAGAGUAUCCUGAGCAAACGUGACUUUGUGACUUGAUCCUCACCUUUGUCCCAGUCCUUCACGUUCACUACUGCCUGGCUCCUGGCUGACCACAGCUUGCUCACUCUGCCAGUCACUCAACUAUGGUGGGCUGGGGCUGAGGACACGACAGGAAGUUGGGGAGAAAAGCACGUCCCAGAAGAACCAACGUGAGUGGAGUGAGAUGGUGUUCCUGGGACCUUCCGACAGGUCAGUGAACAAGCUCCCGUGGAGUUUUACCAGUUUGGGUGUCCGCGCUGCUGGUUCUUUGCCAUGUGACAUGGAACUCUCCUGGGAGUGUGGUGGUGGGGGACUCAGUUUGUACAUGUGAAUGGAGAGUUACAAUACCUACCCACUAAAGGGAAUGUUUGGAAAGAGGGUUGAACUAGAGGAUGCCUGGGCAUUUCUCAGCCUGGCAGAGCUUGGUCACAGCCAAGGGACAGUCACAUCAUUAUUGCUAAUGGUUCUAUUUCAGCCAGAAGCAGAGUGAAAGUUUCUGGAUUGGAAAAUCCGAUCUGAGGCCCAACAAGUCACUGGAUGGAAAAUGGGUGUAGCAUCAUGGGACCUGGGCAGGGCCUUAGUGUGAGAAAACCAGCUGCCGGGAGAGAGAGCCAACCUGGUUCUUAGCCUCCACCCCACACGUGGCAACCAAGAACUCACUUUGCUUUUCUCUCCAUUUCUUUCCUCUCUCCUUUUGUUUGACUUUUUCAUGGUUGGGGAUUGAACCUGGGCAUCACGCACGAACUCUGCCAUGGAGCUAUGUCUUCAACUCUUUCUGUUUUUAUUUUUAAGACAGAGUCUUUUACUAACUCACCCAAGCUUGUCUUGAACUCAUAAUCCUCCUGCCUCAGUCUCCCUAAAUAGCCGGGAUUACAGGCCUGGCUAAGAAUCUGAGUUUUCAAUGAACAAAAUCCUUCCAUGAUCAAGGUUGGCCUUAGCAUAUUUGGAAGUCCUUUUGUGAUCACCCCAGGAGCUUCUCCCCUUCUUUUCUAAGCUAAUAGCCAUCUGCCUGCAGACAGGUAGACACCGUGGGAACAGAAGGCCCACAGAAACAGCUGGUUGACCUCCCCUGGUUAACCCUGUCAGUAGGAUAUAGUCUCACCGAACUUCCCCUUCAUGACCAGCAGAUGGCGAGCGUGUGUUAGUGCUGCUGAGUCCUGGAUGCCAUGGAAUUGUGAGGGGUGUCUGAAGUUCUAGAAGACGAGCCUGGAGGAAGAAGGCCCCAAGAAUGGACACGAUUCCCUCCUCCCUCUCCAGGUCUUCCUUCUAUAAGGACCUACGUCAGCUCACCUUCCAGUGUGUCUGUUGACAUGGCACCAUGCUCUUCAUCUGAUGGGCCAGAGUCCAGUGUGCUCUGCCUGGGAAGAUUUGCAGGAGUGUUCCCAGCUGUGACGAGGCUCUCUCCCACCUCUCUCUGCAGCCUUCUUCAGUGGAUGCUUAGUUUUUUUGGCAUACAUCUUCAGAACCUGUACUGUGGACUGGCAGCCUGGGGCCUCUCAUAGGUUCUGUCUAUAGGGGAAACAUCUUUUAUGGUGAUAUUUUAUUUGUACUGAAAUGUGAUUUUAUUUGCAUGUUAAUAAAUAAAGUUGCCUGGGGGUCAGAGCUAAUAGCAAGCCAUAGCAGAAGCUGGGUGGUGGUGGUGCACGCCUUUAAUCCCAGCUCUUGGGAGACAGAGCGAGGCGGAUCUCUGUGUGUUCAAGGAUACAGCCAGCAUGGAGACACACGCCUUUAAUCUCAAUACCAACCAUAGAAGACCUGGAGGUCUGUAUAGACAGGCAGUGAUGAGGAGGUCAUGUGGUUGGGUUUACAACCAAUGAGAAGGCAGAAUAGAAAGUCUAUAAAAAAGACAGACAGACAGGAAGUAGCUCUCUUGCUGAGGAGGACAGAAGCGGCAAUGAAGGGUAAGGUUUUUUUAGCUCUGACGUCUUGGGCUUUCAUCUUUGCAUUGGCUCUGUGUUUCUUAUUUAAUAAGAUGGUUACACCUACAAUCUUUCAUCCUCUGGCUGGUGAGAAGACCCUGUUAGCUCCAGGAUUCUGGGCUGAACCCUCAGCUAUGUUUUGAGUUACACCCGUGUCCUGAUACCUAAUCAUGAACAGGUCUUUCUUAUCCCAGGGUCUUCCUUGGUCUCCCUACGUGUCAGAGUUUCAGUAGCUACCUCCUUUGUUCUUUGAACUAACCAUCAUGAAUGAGCAUGAUAGAAAACUUUUAACAGGUGACCAGGUCUCAUUCCCAUCACCUACAAUGUGAGUGCUGCAGCUAGACGGCCACUAAGCACAAGCAUCCUGUGACCCAUGACUGCUGAUCGAACACAGGUGCCUGAGUACCCUGAGGCUUAGGGACCAUCACUGACAGAUAUUGGUGACAGUCUGAGGUAUCCCUCAUAGGAACUGGGAGUCACUCAGCUCACCAUCAGUGUUAGCAUGACAAAAAUGGAUGACUGGUGGGGGUAGCUGAUGAGGAGAAGGAGCAAGAAGAUUCCUGGGAUCAUGGGCUGGGGCUUGAGUUUUUUGUUUGUUUGUUUCUGAACAGUGGGAGGUCUUGCUUCUGCUGGUGGACAAGGGGACUAAACAAGAGGGACCCAGGAAGGGAGUUGUCCCUCCUCAGGAUGAUUUCUGAUGCUCUCUCCCUUAACUCCUAUGCUUUAUUUCUUCUAGGAUCAGUCUGUGGCCAUCACUGCUCACUCUCUGCCAUCUCUUCACCAAGUACUGCUUACAGAUGAAUUUCACAGCAACCAUGGUUUUCCAUGUUGGCCUCAUCAUCCUUUUCUUCAGCUUCCACCAGAAGACAUCCCUCAAGGGACACUGGAAGAGGCCGGCUUAAAUAAAGAGUAGGACCAGAGACCAAGACCAGCAGAGGUAUCUUCAUGGAGACCUGGGCAGAGGACAGCAGAGCUCUCAGCUCUCUCCCCGCCCUGCCCCAAGAGCUGCAGCUCAUCCAACGAAAGAGGAAAAUCUCCUCCCUUCUAGAGUUCAGGAGGAAUGAAAUGGACUCAGGCUUCAUACCCACUGCUCACAUGGAUUUAUACUAUCUGUGAACCUCCUGCCUCUACUAGAUAUAGUCCUUUAAUGGAAGGAACUGUCUUUUUUUCUGUGGCCACUAUACUGGGCACCCACUUCAUCUCAAAAAUGCACCUCUAAGGCUUGGAUUCUACAGCUGGUGGUCAUGGCCACUGGUAAAGAACAGGCCUGGGUGUGGACAAAGUCAAGGAUGGCUUGCCAUCUGACUUGAAGUGGGAAACUUACUUGGUUUCCGAUGUGGCUAUGAACAACUACCCCCUCCCACACACAGCUUUUAGCUCACCACCCUCAGCAUGGGUGUGUGUAGUUGCAUGAUUCCAUAGCACGUUAUUAGGGUGAGAGAAAGGGAUAUAUGCAUGGAUCAGAAUUGUUUGCUGUCAACAUGUGGAUUUUUCUGCUUUGUUCAAAUGUCAAAUAAAUAUUGACAAAUGAAAUCA
Peromyscus californicus insignis is the source of this 41340-nucleotide long non-coding RNA. RefSeq lists it as uncharacterized. The transcript is spliced from 5 exons. The record is from RefSeq and is a predicted model, not a curated record. NCBI's taxonomy places the organism in Eukaryota, Metazoa, Chordata, Mammalia, Rodentia, Cricetidae.